GAGGGAAUAGCUCAGUGGUAGAGCACAUGCUUAGCAUGCACAAGGUCCUGGGUUCAAUUCCCAGUACCUCCA
RNAcentral lists this transfer RNA (72 nucleotides) under Camelus bactrianus (Bactrian camel). It matches the Rfam family "tRNA". Rfam says of the family: Transfer RNA (tRNA) molecules are approximately 80 nucleotides in length. Their secondary structure includes four short double-helical elements and three loops (D, anti-codon, and T loops). Lineage: Eukaryota; Metazoa; Chordata; Mammalia; Artiodactyla; Camelidae. The record is from Rfam by way of RNAcentral. RNAcentral also lists the same sequence under 2 other names.